UACGUAGGUGGCAAGCGUUGUCCGGAAUUAUUGGGCGUAAAGAGCGCGCAGGCGGUCGUCCAAGUCGCGUGUGAAAGCCCCCGGCUCAACUGGGGAGGGUCACGCGAUACUGGUCGACUCGAAGGCAGGAGAGGGUAGUGGAAUUCCCGGUGUAGUGGUGAAAUGCGUAGAUAUCGGGAGGAACACCAGUGGCGAAGGCGACUACCUGGCCUGUUCUUGACGCUGAGGCGCGAAAGCUAGGGGAGCAAACGGG
Molecule: ribosomal RNA, 253 nt
Filed under: uncultured bacterium
Lineage: Bacteria
Description: partial 16S ribosomal RNA
Rfam family: Bacterial small subunit ribosomal RNA
Source: RNAcentral